RNAcentral lists this Y RNA (101 nucleotides) under Propithecus coquereli (Coquerel's sifaka). Its description in RNAcentral is "Y RNA (ENSPCOG00000003533.1)". It matches the Rfam family "Y RNA". Rfam says of the family: Y RNAs are components of the Ro ribonucleoprotein particle (Ro RNP), in association with Ro60 and La proteins. The Y RNAs and Ro60 and La proteins are well conserved, but the function of the Ro RNP is not known. The record is from Rfam by way of RNAcentral. Lineage: Eukaryota; Metazoa; Chordata; Mammalia; Primates; Indriidae.
GGUUGGUCCGAGUGCAGUGGUGUUUCAACUGAUGGAUCACAACCAGUUACAGAUUCCUUUAUUCCUUCUCCACUCUAACUGCUUCACUUGACCAGCCUUAA